This is a long non-coding RNA of Entelurus aequoreus (snake pipefish), 652 nucleotides long. RefSeq lists it as uncharacterized. The transcript is spliced from 5 exons. The record is from RefSeq and is a predicted model, not a curated record. NCBI's taxonomy places the organism in Eukaryota, Metazoa, Chordata, Actinopteri, Syngnathiformes, Syngnathidae.
GCUUAGCGUUGUUGCCCGGAACAGGAAGUAGGUCUGAGCCACGUGGGAGGAGACAAUUGUGCCUUUGAGCAAUAACUAAUUGAUCUAUUGUUUACAAGGGAAAGCCCGAACAAUUAGUGCCCAUGACCCGGGUUCUUUUCUUUGGCCGUCUUGUGCAAGUUGACCCCUGGACCGGACCCCACCAACCACCGGGGACCAUUACGAAUUAAGGUGGACGCCGUCGGGGCUCUGCUGAAGAAGACGCGUCGGACCUGAGCUGAUUGGAGCAGUGCGGCGGGGAUUGCCGGUCAUACGAUGAAGAGUCUGCGUCCAAGACAAAGAGAGAAACAUUUUUUAACAGUCCGCAGGGCUUUUGCAGAGGAGACUGUGCUUGCUCUUAUGGCGAGGAGAGGCCUUUUCGAACCUCCUCUGGUAUCACAAGGAAGCUUGGAGGCAAGGAAGGAGAAAGGGAAGGAGUGAAACGUGAUAUGACGUUGCCGUUCUGAGCGAGAGAGACGCCACUGUCUGCUUGACCGCCACCACCCUGUAACCUCUGCCACCGACCCAGCGUGAAGACAACCCUACACACUGACCAGGACUGUCUUAUGUACAUUUACUUAUUUGUCCACUGACGGCAUGUCGUCUCAAAAUGUACAGAAAUGGCUGAAUAAAA